AUUGAACGCUGGCGGCAUGCUUUACACAUGCAAGUCGAACGGCAGCGCGGGCUUCGGCCUGGCGGCGAGUGGCGAACGGGUGAGUAAUGCAUCGGAGCGUGCCCAGUAGUGGGGAUAGCCCGGCGAAAGCCGGAUUAAUACCGCAUACGACCUGAGGGUGAAAGCGGGGGACCGAAAGGCCUCGCGCUAUUGGAGCGGCCGAUGUCGGAUUAGCUAGUUGGUGGGGUAAAGGCUUACCAAGGCGACGAUCCGUAGCUGGUCUGAGAGGACGACCAGCCACACUGGGACUGAGACACGGCCCAGACUCCUACGGGAGGCAGCAGUGGGGAAUUUUGGACAAUGGGGGCAACCCUGAUCCAGCCAUGCCGCGUGCGGGAAGAAGGCCUUCGGGUUGUAAACCGCUUUUGUUCGGGAAGAAAUCCUCUGGGCUAAUACCCCGGGGGGAUGACGGUACCGGAAGAAUAAGCACCGGCUAACUACGUG
RNAcentral lists this ribosomal RNA (483 nucleotides) under uncultured bacterium. RNAcentral describes it as "partial 16S ribosomal RNA". It matches the Rfam family "Bacterial small subunit ribosomal RNA", at positions 28 to 507 of the family's 1533-position model. The record is from RNAcentral.